This 1453-nucleotide ribosomal RNA is filed under the name metagenome. RNAcentral describes it as "bacterial SSU rRNA". It matches the Rfam family "Bacterial small subunit ribosomal RNA". The record is from RNAcentral.
UUGAUCCUAGUUCAGAGUGAACGCUGGUGGUAUGCUUAACACAUGCAAGUCGAACGAGAAAGUUUCUUCGGGAAUGAGUAAAGUGGCGAACGGGUGAGGAAUAUAUGGGAAUCUACCUAGCAGUACGGAAUAGCUUCUGGAAACGGAAAUUAAUACCGUAUACUACCGAUUUAUCGGGAAAGAUUUAUCGCUGUUAGAGGAGCUCAUAUCGGAUUAGUUAGUUGGUAGGGUAAAGGCCUACCAAGACGAUGAUCCGUAGCUGGUCUGAGAGGAUGAUCAGCCACAUUGGGACUGAGACACGGCCCAAACCCCUACGGGAGGCAGCAGUGAGGAAUUUUGGACAAUGGGCGCAAGCCUGAUCCGGCAAUACCACGUGAAUGAUGAAGGCCUUCGGGUUGUAAAGUUCUUUUAGUAGGGAAAAUAAUGAUGGUACCUACAGAAAAAGCACUGGCUAACUAUGUGCCAGCAGCCGCGGUAAUACAUAGAGUGCUAGCGUUACUCGGAAUCAUUGGGCGUAAAGAGUAUGUAGGCGGUAUAUUAAGUUGGAUGUGAAAGCCCAGAGCUUAACUUUGGAACUGCAUCCAAAACUAAUAUACUAGAGUGGAAUAUAGGACAGUGAAUUCCUAGUGUAGGGGUAAAAUCCGUAGAUAUUAGGAAGAACACCAGAAGCGAAGGCGACUGUCUAGGUUUCAACUGACGCUGAGAUACGAAAGUGUGGGUAGCGAACAGGAUUAGAUACCCUGGUAGUCCACACCAUAAACGAUGAGUGCUAGAUGUCUGGAUCUUAGAUUUGGGCGUUAAAGCUAACGCGUUAAGCACUCCGCCUGGGGAGUACGGUCGCAAGACUAAAACUCAAAGGAAUUGACGGGGACCCGCACAAGCAGUGGAUUAUGUGGUUUAAUUCGAUGCUACACGAAAAACCUUACCAACUCUUGACAUCCUGAUUACCGUUUCUAGAAAUAGAUUCUUCAGUUCGGCUGGAUCAGAGACAGGUGUUGCAUGGCUGUCGUCAGUUCGUGUCGUGAGAUGUUAGGUUAAGUCCUUCAACGAACGCAACCCUCAUCCUUAUUUGCCAACGAGUAAUGUCGGGAACUAUAAGGAAACCGCCGAUGAUAAAUCGGAGGAAGGUGGGGACGAGGUCAAGUCAUCACGGCCCUUAUGAGUUGGGCUACACACAUAAUACAAUGGGAGUUACAACGGGGUGUUUAGGAGUGAUCCGAAACAAAUCCUUUAAAAGCUCUCUCAGUUCAGAUUGCAGUCUGCAACUCGACUGCAUGAAGAUGGAAUUGCUAGUAAUCGUGGGUCAGCAAACCACGGUGAAUACGUUCCCGGGUCUUGUACACACUGCCCGUCAAGCCAUGGGAGUCGUCUCUACCCGAAUUUGUUGAGCUAACCGCAAGGGGGCAGGCAAACACGGUAGGGGGGAUGACUGGGGUUAAGUCGAAACAAGGUA